UAGUGAUGAAAUCUAAACUGAAAUAGCUGGAAUUACCGGCAGAUUGUUCAGUGUGACUCUCGGGUUUCUGAAC
RNAcentral lists this small nucleolar RNA (73 nucleotides) under Seriola dumerili (greater amberjack). The record is from RNAcentral. Lineage: Eukaryota; Metazoa; Chordata; Actinopteri; Carangiformes; Carangidae.